Molecule: long non-coding RNA, 166 nt
Organism: Lagopus muta (rock ptarmigan)
Lineage: Eukaryota; Metazoa; Chordata; Aves; Galliformes; Phasianidae
Exons: 3
Source: RefSeq, a predicted model, not a curated record
CCUUGCCCUAUUUAAGAGCUGACUACCUUUGGAGAAGGAUCUCUUCUGGUGAUCCUCUCUGGUGGAGUUUUGUAAGUGGGCCUGGGAUGUGGCUCAGCCUGACAUAGACUGCGCUUUAUUUCCUGAUAAGAGCAGGGCUUGGCUUCUGAGCCUUCUUGACCAACUU